CAUGUAGGUGGCUUGGAAAGUUGGGUGUGAAAGCCCGGGGCCCAACCCCGGAAUUGCACUCAAAACUUCCUCGCUAGAGUCUCGGAGAGGAAAGCGGAAUUCCCGGUGUAGAGGUGAAAUUCGUAGAUAUCGGGAGGAACACCAGUGGCGAAGGCGGCUUUCUGGACGAUGACUGACACUGAGAUGCGAAAGCGUGGGGAGCAAACAGGAUUAGAUACCCUGGUAGUCC
This 229-nucleotide ribosomal RNA is filed under the name uncultured bacterium. RNAcentral describes it as "partial 16S ribosomal RNA". It matches the Rfam family "Bacterial small subunit ribosomal RNA", at positions 568 to 796 of the family's 1533-position model. The record is from RNAcentral.